This 568-nucleotide ribosomal RNA is filed under the name uncultured Brachybacterium sp. RNAcentral describes it as "bacterial SSU rRNA". It matches the Rfam family "Bacterial small subunit ribosomal RNA", at positions 336 to 918 of the family's 1533-position model. Lineage: Bacteria; Bacillati; Actinomycetota; Actinomycetes; Micrococcales; Dermabacteraceae. The record is from RNAcentral.
UUCCUACGGGAGGCAGCAGUGGGGAAUAUUGCACAAUGGGCGAAAGCCUGAUGCAGCAACGCCGCGUGCGGGAUGAAGGCCCUAGGGUUGUAAACCGCUUUCAGCAGGGAAGAAAAUGACGGUACCUGCAGAAGAAGGUGCGGCCAACUACGUGCCAGCAGCCGCGGUGACACGUAGGCGCCAAGCGUUGUCCGGAUUUAUUGGGCGUAAAGAGCUCGUAGGCGGUUCAGUUAGUCGGGUGUGAAAACUCUGGGCUCAACCCAGAGACGCCACCCGAUACUGCUGUGACUAGAGUACGGUAGGGGAGUGGGGAAUUCCUGGUGUAGCGGUGAAAUGCGCAGAUAUCAGGAGGAACACCGGUGGCGAAGGCGCCACUCUGGGCCGUAACUGACGCUGAGGAGCGAAAGCGUGGGUAGCAAACAGGAUUAGAUACCCUGGUAGUCCACGCCGUAAACGUUGGGCACUAGGUGUGGGUCUCAACCAACGAGAUCCGCGCCGUCGCUAACGCAUUAAGUGCCCCGCCUGGGGAGUACGGUCGCAAGACUAAAACUCAAAUGAAUUGACGGAA